GUCAGCGGCGGACGGGUGAGUAACACGUGGGUAACCUGCCUGUAAGACUGGGAUAACUCCGGGAAACCGGGGCUAAUACCGGAUAGCUUCUUCCUCCGCAUGGAGGAAGAAUGAAAGGCGGCCUUUGGCUGUCACUUACAGAUGGACCCGCGGCGCAUUAGCUAGUUGGUGGGGUAACGGCUCACCAAGGCGACGAUGCGUAGCCGACCUGAGAGGGUGAUCGGCCACACUGGGACUGAGACACGGCCCAGACUCCUACGGGAGGCAGCAGUAGGGAAUCUUCCGCAAUGGACGAAAGUCUGACGGAGCAACGCCGCGUGAGUGAAGAAGGUUUUCGGAUCGUAAAGCUCUGUUGUCAGGGAAGAACAAGUACCGGAGUCACUGCCGGUACCUUGACGGUACCUGACCAGAAAGCCACGGCUAACUACGUGCCAGCAGCCGCGGUAAUACGUAGGUGGCAAGCGUUGUCCGGAAUUAUUGGGCGUAAAGCGCGCGCAGGCGGCCUUUUAAGUCUGAUGUGAAAGCCCACGGCUCAACCGUGGAGGGUCAUUGGAAACUGGAAGGCUUGAGUGCAGAAGAGGAGAGCGGAAUUCCACGUGUAGCGGUGAAAUGCGUAGAGAUGUGGAGGAACACCAGUGGCGAAGGCGGCUCUCUGGUCUGUAACUGACGCUGAGGCGCGAAAGCGUGGGGAGCGAACAGGAUUAGAUACCCUGGUAGUCCACGCCGUAAACGAUGAGUGCUAAGUGUUGGAGGGUUUCCGCCCUUCAGUGCUGCAGCUAACGCAUUAAGCACUCCGCCUGGGGAGUACGGCCGCAAGGCUGAAACUCAAAGGAAUUGAC
RNAcentral lists this ribosomal RNA (839 nucleotides) under Bacillus thermotolerans. RNAcentral's name for it is "bacterial SSU rRNA". It matches the Rfam family "Bacterial small subunit ribosomal RNA", at positions 91 to 914 of the family's 1533-position model. The record is from RNAcentral. Lineage: Bacteria; Bacillati; Bacillota; Bacilli; Caryophanales; Bacillaceae.